RNAcentral lists this ribosomal RNA (415 nucleotides) under uncultured bacterium. RNAcentral describes it as "bacterial SSU rRNA". It matches the Rfam family "Bacterial small subunit ribosomal RNA", at positions 401 to 809 of the family's 1533-position model. The record is from RNAcentral.
UGUGUGAAGAAGGCCUUCGGGUUGUAAAGCACUUUUAUCAGGAGCGAAACGCUGUCGGCUAAUACCCGGCGGAACUGACGGUACCUGAGGAAUAAGCACCGGCUAACUUCGUGCCAGCAGCCGCGGUAAUACGAAGGGUGCAAGCGUUAAUCGGAAUUACUGGGCGUAAAGCGUGCGUAGGCGGUUUGUUAAGUCUGUUGUGAAAUCCCCGGGCUCAACCUGGGAAUGGCAAUGGAUACUGGCAAGCUAGAGUGUGAUAGAGGAUGGUGGAAUUCCCGGUGUAGCGGUGAAAUGCGUAGAGAUCGGGAGGAACAUCAGUGGCGAAGGCGGCCAUCUGGAUCAACACUGACGCUGAGGCACGAAAGCGUGGGGAGCAAACAGGAUUAGAUACCCUGGUAGUCCACGCCCUAAACGA